RNAcentral lists this ribosomal RNA (253 nucleotides) under uncultured prokaryote. RNAcentral's name for it is "partial 16S ribosomal RNA". It matches the Rfam family "Bacterial small subunit ribosomal RNA", at positions 525 to 777 of the family's 1533-position model. The record is from RNAcentral.
ACGGAGGGUGCAAGCGUUAUCCGGAUUCACUGGGUUUAAAGGGUGCGUAGGCGGACAGGUAAGUCAGUGGUGAAAUCCCCGGGCUUAACCUGGGAACUGCAUUUGUGACUGCAUCGCUGGAGUGCGGCAGAGGGGGAUGGAAUUCCGCGUGUAGCAGUGAAAUGCGUAGAUAUGCGGAGGAACACCGAUGGCGAAGGCAAUCCCCUGGGCCUGCACUGACGCUCAUGCACGAAAGCGUGGGGAGCAAACAGGA